This is a small nuclear RNA of Rhinopithecus bieti (black snub-nosed monkey), 165 nucleotides long. Its record names the gene U1. It matches the Rfam family "U1 spliceosomal RNA". From Rfam's summary of the family: U1 is a small nuclear RNA (snRNA) component of the spliceosome (involved in pre-mRNA splicing). Its 5' end forms complementary base pairs with the 5' splice junction, thus defining the 5' donor site of an intron. NCBI's taxonomy places the organism in Eukaryota, Metazoa, Chordata, Mammalia, Primates, Cercopithecidae. The record is from Ensembl.
AUACUUACCUGCCAGAGAAGAUACCAUGAUCAUGAAGGUGGUUUUGCCAGGGUGAGGCUUAUCCAUUGCACUCGGGAUGUGUUGAUCCCUGCGAUUUCCCUGAAUGUGGCACACUCGACUGCAUGGUUUAGUGGUAGUGGGGGACUGAGUUCGCGCUUUCUCCUG